UCAUCUCCGGGGGUAGAGCACUGUUUCGGCUAGGGGGCCAUCCCGGCUUACCAACCCGAUGCAAACUGCGAAUACCGGAGAAUGUUAUCACGGGAGACACACGGCGGGUGCUAACGUCCGUCGUGAAGAGGGAAACAACCCAGACCGCCAGCUAAGGUCCCAAAGUCAUGGUUAAGUGGGAAACGAUGUGGGAAGGCCCAGACAGCCAGGAUGUUGGCUUAGAAGCAGCCAUCAUUUAAAGAAAGCGUAAUAGCUCACUGGUCGAGUCGGCCUGCGCGGAAGAUGUAACGGGGCUAAACCAUGCACCGAAGCUGCGGCAGCGACGCUGAUGCGUUGUUGGGUAGGGGAGCGUUCUGUAAGCCUGUGAAGGUGGCCUGUGAGGGUUGCUGGAGGUAUCAGAAGUGCGAAUGCUGACAUAAGUAACGAUAAAGCGGGUGAAAAGCCCGCUCGCCGGAAGACCAAGGGUUCCUGUCCAACGUUAAUCGGGGCAGGGUGAGUCGACCCCUAAGGCGAG
Molecule: ribosomal RNA, 514 nt
Filed under: Salmonella enterica subsp. enterica serovar Kentucky
Lineage: Bacteria; Pseudomonadati; Pseudomonadota; Gammaproteobacteria; Enterobacterales; Enterobacteriaceae
Description: partial 23S ribosomal RNA
Rfam family: Bacterial large subunit ribosomal RNA
Source: RNAcentral